AGCAGCGUGGCUUAGUGGAAAGAGCCCGGGCUUGGGAGUCAGAGGUCAUGGGUUCUAAUCCCCUCUCUGCUG
Ornithorhynchus anatinus (platypus) is the source of this 72-nucleotide non-coding RNA. NCBI's taxonomy places the organism in Eukaryota, Metazoa, Chordata, Mammalia, Monotremata, Ornithorhynchidae. The record is from Rfam.